GUGUAUGUCUGUGGGUGCUGUAUGUGUGUGGGUGCUGUAUGUGUGUGGGUACUGUGUAUGUCUGUGGGUGUUGUAUGUCUGUGGGUGCUGUAUGUGUGUGGGUGCGGUGUAUGUCUGUGGGUGCUGUGUGUGGGUGCUGUAUGUGUGUGGGUGCUGUAUGUGUGUGGGUGCUGUAUGUCUGUGGGUGCUGUAUGUCUGUGGGUGCUGUAUGUCUGUGGGUGCUGUGUAUGU
This is a non-coding RNA of Pelobates cultripes (western spadefoot toad), 231 nucleotides long. Lineage: Eukaryota; Metazoa; Chordata; Amphibia; Anura; Pelobatidae. The record is from the annotation of a GenBank genome assembly.